UUUUUUUUUUUUUAUCAAUCCAACUCGUAAUCAUAAUGUUUCCUCCUUCCCUUGACUAUUACAUUGCCUACAGAAUAAUAUGUGAAUAUGGCUAGAAAAUAUGAGUAACUUUUAACUGUUUUUCUAUUUCUUUGGACUUCUAAAUAUUUUGGUGUGUAUUUGCCAUGGUAAACAUUUUUUUCUUCUUUUCCCCUUUGCACUGGAGUCGAAAAAGUAAUCUCAAAAUAUAAAAUGGGAGACUUUCCUUACACUCAUUUUCUUUGUUGUUGCUACUAUAAUGUUCCUUAACAUCUAUUUGACUUCUGCAGCUUUUUGAUGGAAAGGAUGGA
RNAcentral lists this unclassified non-coding RNA (329 nucleotides) under Hevea brasiliensis (rubber tree). Lineage: Eukaryota; Viridiplantae; Streptophyta; Magnoliopsida; Malpighiales; Euphorbiaceae. The record is from RNAcentral.